GCCCCACUGUCCAGCUACAUUUUGCUUCCAGCCUUGGCCUCAGCUUCUCCAGAGCCACCAGGGAGAGGGCACCGUGCUGGCCACGCUGUGACCCAAAUGAAGGGUGACCCAAAAAGCUUCUGAGAGCCCCAAAGGAAUGCUGGAAAUUCCUUGGCCCCAGGAGUUUGCAUCUUGCCUCCACAGCCAAGCCGAGGCAGUUCCUUGCGGGUCCUCCCAUCUGGGGGAAGUCAGAAGGUGAUGCUGAAAUAUUUGGGUCUCUGGGCACUUGUGUAGUACAGGUGGCUCCUGCCACAGCCUCUCCCUGGAUGAGGAAGACCAAAAAGGAGAGGUUUGAGGCAGAUAACCUCUGCUCUGGUUUGUUUGGGAUCUUGAGAGCGAUUAAAUUAUCUCUAUUCCUGCCCCCCUUCCCAUCACUUGUCCAGGAGACAAUAGAGAGCAGGAAAUUAAGAGUGACUGUGAACAAAGAGCCCCGCGCUGAGGCUGCCAGUGCGGCCGGCAGCUCCUCGUUUUCACUUCGCCAUCCACUUCCCCAGGCGGAUCUAAAGACAUCAGCUCCUGGAGCAGCGGCAGAGUUGUUAUCAGCCUCAUUAAUCUUUAGGAGGCAGGAAAAAGCUGCUUCUGCUGGAGAUGAUGUGGGAAUUAAUGUCCCGGUAAUAGCGGGAGAGGAGGGAGGGGGUGAAGGGGAUGCGCGGCUGCUGUGAGGGGGAUCGGAUCUUUGGGGUGUCCCGAGGAACGGCAGUCCCUGGGUGGCCCCCGGAGGAGGGAGGACAGCCCAGGAGAGGGGUUUGGUGCCCUGUGACCUUUCCAGAGCUGUUUUAUCCUCUCCUGGCUGGUUGCUGUGCCCAGCACCGGUGCCUUCCCUGGGCAGUGGUGGCCGUGAGCAUUCCCAGCGCUGCCUCCUGGAAUCUCUCCCCGGAGCAGGUGACAGUGCCAGGUACCUCCCCUGUGUUCCUGGCACCGAGAUCACCCCCCUGGAGGAGGGGCAGGGGGAGCACAGGGAUCCCAGGGGGCCCCCAGCUCCUGGGGCUGCCAGGGGAGCACCAGGGCUCCAGCCUCUCCCUGCUUUGCACUUCCACCUCGGUGGGAAGCCAGGCCAGGGAGCUGGGGGGAUCCAGGCGGUUCUGCCUGGCUGAACCCAAUCUGAUCUUCAUUAAAAACCCCAUAAAAUUAAUGAGCUGAUGGCCCGGUGGGUGUUGAGGAGCUGAUCGGAGCUGAUCUCCAUCCAGGAGGAGGGCAGCAGCAGCUGCCUGAGUCAGGAAGCCAUCCUUGAGCCUUUUGAAGGCAAUUUGUCCCAUUCUGCCUAGUUUUGAAGCUGAAUUAAAGCCCAGCGCAGAGGCUGCUCUGCAUCCCUGGGUGGUCCCUGGUUCGGAGGGACGCUGUACCAGCAGCUGGUUUGGUGCUGGCAGAUAAACUCCUCUUUGUCCUUUUGCCUGGGAAGCAUCCACAGCGCUGAAAAGCACUUUACUGGCAGGGCUGGGGAGGGGAGGAACACACAGCCCCUUCCCACACGGCCGAAAUAACCCCUGGGAGAGGGGCACGGGGGUUACGUGACCACAGAGAGGCUUUAAAAGCCCUUCCAAGUCCCUUCCCAGCUGCUCCACAAGAGUCCCUGUGGAAAACAGAGCUCUCGACCCCUGUCCUGGAAAUGAGUGUUGUAAGGAGCUGGGGCUGGGAUGCCAAAGGAGGGGUAGGGUGAGCUGGCCUUUCUCCUGGAUCCAUGGCAGGGAGGCAGGAAUGAAGGGGCUGUGUUGGGCUGGGCUGGGCUGGGAGGGGGUGCAGCCGCUGUCCCCCGGCACGGGAAGGAUUUGCUGUGCAGCCAGCCCCAGGAUCCCUGUGGAUCGCUUGGAUUCGAUGAUCUCUCUUUGGAAAGCCGGCCCUGCCCAGCCCCCUCCCCCCGCUGCCCUCGGAGGGACCCCGCUGUCCCCUGCGGCCGUGGGGACAAAGCCAGCCCCGGCAGGGAUGAGCGUGCUGUUUCUGUCCCAGGGACACUGGGCUGGCGCUGCCCUUUCCCUGCCUUUUCCCUUCCCGUGGCUUCGCUGGCUCUGCUGAUUCCUGCCUGGAGGCGGCCUGGCUGCGUUUCAGGGAUGCCCGGGCCGGGGGGAGGCUUGGCUUUCUGCUAAUUAACCAGACAAACAGUCUGGGCCACGUCCCCGCAGCCCGAGGCGCGGCAGGACCCGGCUGGUGGCUGCCACAGCUAAUGGGGAGCGUCUGCAGCGCUGAUGGAUGGCGGGGGAGAGGCGCUGAGGAUGUCACCUGCGCCCCGGGCAGCUCCGGACCUGCUGGGAUCCGGGGCAGCAUCCACGGCCUGGGAUCCGGGCAUCCACGGCCCGAGAUCCAGGGUAGCACCCACACCCUCCCGGGAUCCAGGGCAGUCUCCACAUCCAGGAUCCAGAGCACCAUCCACACCCAGGAUCCAGGGCAGCACCCAGACCCUCCCGGGAUCCAGGGGCAGCAUCCAGCCCCAGGAUCCAGGGCAGCACCCACACCCUCUCAGGAUCCAGAACAGCAUCCACCCCCAUGAUCCAGAGCACCAUCCACACCCUCCUGGGAUCCAGGGCAGCAUCCACAUCCAGGAUCCAGAGCAGCAUCCUCCCCCAUGAUCCAGAGCACCAUCCACACCCGGGAUCCAGGGCAGCAUCCAGCCCCGGGAUCCAGAGCACCAUCCACACCCUCCUGGGAUCCAGGGCACCAUCCACACCCCCCAUCCCUCUCUAUACCCCGGGGCUCUCCCCUCCACACCCCGUCCCGGCUCCUGCUGCUUCCAGACCUCCUCGCAGCCGGUUCCUUCCUCUCCCUGCCUCCCUCCCCUUCUGGCCCCGCCGUUAUUUGCCUCCCUAAUUGGUUUAUUGAUCUCUGGAGGGGCCGGGCCGGGCUCGCCGUGCCGGUGAAUCACGUCGGUGACACUAAUGAGCCUUUGGCAGCCGCGCCGAGAUCGCGGCUCCUGCGCCGGCUGUGCCCGCCUCGUUGGAGGGUCCUGCGGUUAAUCCGGGGCUGCACAGGCUGGCUUUGGCAGCCGGGCUCUGUUCCAGCUGGAAAUGUCACGGCUGGUGACAGCAGGCACUGAUCCCGCUGCACUCCGCGUUCCUUGGUGCCCCGGGACGAAUAGGGCACCUCAGCCCCCUGA
Molecule: long non-coding RNA, 3124 nt
Organism: Taeniopygia guttata (zebra finch)
Lineage: Eukaryota; Metazoa; Chordata; Aves; Passeriformes; Estrildidae
Source: Ensembl